This 411-nucleotide ribosomal RNA is filed under the name Asterionellopsis glacialis. Its description in RNAcentral is "partial Bacterial large subunit ribosomal RNA". It matches the Rfam family "Bacterial large subunit ribosomal RNA", at positions 1149 to 1675 of the family's 2925-position model. Lineage: Eukaryota; Bacillariophyta; Plagiogrammaphyceae; Rhaphoneidales; Asterionellopsidaceae. The record is from RNAcentral.
UCAAGCGAUCCUGCGCCGAAAAUGUAACGGGGCUAAAGCCAUUUACCGAAAUUGUGGGCUCGAAAGAGCGGUAGCGGAGCGUUCCGUAAGCCUGCGAAGGUGCACUGCGAGGUGUGCUGGAGGUAUCGGAAGUGAGAAUGUUGACAUGAGUAGCGACAAAGCGGGUGAGAGACCCGCUCGCCGAAAAUCCAAGGGUUCCUGCGUAAAGCUAAUCUGCGCAGGGUUAGCCGGCCCCUAAGGCGAGGCCGAAAGGCGUAGUCGAUGGGAAUCAGGUUAAUAUUCCUGAGCCAGAAGGAUGUGACGGAUUGUGGCGGCGUGCGUUCCUUAUCGGAUUGGAGCGUAUCCAAGACAGUUCCUGGAAAUAGCCCUUCAUGAGACCGUACCCUAAACCGACACAGGUGGAUAGGUAGA